Molecule: ribosomal RNA, 282 nt
Filed under: uncultured Staphylococcus sp.
Lineage: Bacteria; Bacillati; Bacillota; Bacilli; Caryophanales; Staphylococcaceae
Description: partial 16S ribosomal RNA
Rfam family: Bacterial small subunit ribosomal RNA
Source: RNAcentral
GUGCCAGCAGCCGCGGUAAUACGUAGGUGGCAAGCGUUAUCCGGAAUUAUUGGGCGUAAAGCGCGCGUAGGCAGUUUUUUAAGUCUGAUGUGAAAGCCCACGGCUCAACCGUGGAGGGUCAUUGGAAACUGGAAAACUUGAGUGCAGAAGAGGAAAGUGGAAUUCCAUGUGUAGCGGUGAAAUGCGCAGAGAUAUGGAGGAACACCAGUGGCGAAGGCGACUUUCUGGUCUGUAACUGACGCUGAUGUGCGAAAGCGUGGGGAUCAAACAGGAUUAGAUACC